GAAAAAUUAUAGUUAGCUUGUGUAUCAAAUGCUUUGUUAUUUAUUUAGCUUGAAUUUUUUUUUAAAGAAUAUGAAUUCUGUCAAAUGCACAGAUGCUUUGAUAUUCAAUAUAUUGGAAUUCUUUGUCGGGUAUAUGAAUUGAACUUGCUCAGAUGGUGUUUGGUGAAAUGCAUGACAAGAAUUUUUUUUCGUGGAUUGUUAUAAUUAAUGGGUACUAAAAAUGUGGAAAGGUUGAGAAUAGAAUUUGAGUAAAGGUUUAAUGCCAAUGAGUAAGGUAAGGAAUUUGUUCUUGGGGUUUUUAUGUGCAGUUGGUUUGUCUGGUGCUUGGUUAUGCGAUCUUUGUCAGAUGAUAUGGAGUAAGAAGAAAGAAGACUGCAAUAAGGCAAGGGAUCCUACAGUUUGGGUACACCGGAAGUUGAGCUCAUACAAGAAGAUUCAUCCCACACGAAUAAUGUAACCAGUGCAGAUGAAGUUGGCCAAGACUUUGGGAGCUGGAUUCGAAAUGAAAUUGGAGGGGAAGAGGUGAUUAGAAGUACAACUAACGGUGAUAAAGGCGAUCUAAAUAAUGACAGUGAUAGUGAUCACAGUGAUUAUUUUAGUGUUUGUGAACGAAAGACCUGGGGAGCAGCCUGGCAGACCUCAGGACCUGCGGAGACGCUUUACAUAUCAAGGACCAACUGAACAGACCUCGAAAUGAUUCAGGUACGCGGGGAACAGGAGCAGACCAAGUUUGAAUUAUUAGGUUUCUUUAGUUUUGAUUGUGUAAUUUUUUUUUGUUUCCUUAUGGUUAAGUGGGAUUUUAUAUGCCUCGUGACAACUACUUUUAUUUAAUGGAACUUAAAUCCUUUCUUUGGAUUAACUUUA
Long non-coding RNA from Papaver somniferum (opium poppy), 864 nucleotides. RefSeq lists it as uncharacterized. The record is from RefSeq and is a predicted model, not a curated record. The transcript has 3 exons. Lineage: Eukaryota; Viridiplantae; Streptophyta; Magnoliopsida; Ranunculales; Papaveraceae.